RNAcentral lists this long non-coding RNA (1253 nucleotides) under Cyanistes caeruleus (blue tit). Its description in RNAcentral is "lncRNA (ENSCCEG00000012858.1)". Lineage: Eukaryota; Metazoa; Chordata; Aves; Passeriformes; Paridae. The record is from RNAcentral.
AAGAGGAUGGAUAUUUACCACUGAAAAGAGAAGAGCCACCAAUUCUCAAGGCAUCACCAGGCUCUGCAGACAGAUAUUUCCCCAGAGUGUUUAUUUUUCUUUAUCCUCAGCUAAUUUAGGCUACAGAGAAGUUGGCUGUUGUUUCUGCAGCCCCAAGAGAAAAAGGUCUUGGAGAAAAGGCUCACCUUCCUGCACUGAAAUCACCACUUUUUGGAGCCUGAAAAGAGAGGAUGCUUCUUGUCAGCUCAUAUGAGUGCCUCUCCACAGGGGACUGGUUCUUUCUUUUUAAAAGUUUAUAGUAGAAAAACAAAUACUCAUUUCAAUAUCUCUGCAUGAAGGCGCAGAUGAGUCCACAGAGAGAUCAAUGCUGGUUCCAGUGACGACAGCAAGAUUGGGCUCUUCCUGAGGAAAAACAUUUUGGUAUUUUGGAGUAGUUUGGUUUGCCCUGCUGCACUUUCAGCUUUUUCUUAGCGUAAGGUCUUGCAAAAAGCUCGAUUUUAGCUGUUUCUGGGACAGAAUCAAGGAGAACUGGAACUCUGACAGUCAAACUUGUGUAAUGUCACACUUGUGUUCUGGUGGCACUUGUCAGCCUUGUCACCCAUUGCCCACCCUGCUCUAGGUUCUACAUGAUUCUCUCAACACCAGGAACAGCUCCUGACAAAGAGCAGUCACAAUUUGGACUGAGAUGCUGCAGUGAGAAACAAAAAAAAUGAGGAAAACCAAAAGAUUCAGGAAUGAGCAAAGAUGUAAACACCACUCCAGUGAAGGAAUGGUUGUAAAAUUAUCCAGUAAAUAUCAUUGUUUCAGGAAAAAACACUUGUGUUGAGACCGAAGUGUCACAAAAGUAGUCAUCAAACCUGCAGCAAAAUCCUGAAAACAGAAGCUGAAAUUUAGUGUUAACUAUUAAGGCAAAUAUGCUUGAAAUAUUAAAAGAUCAGUUGUAGAAUUCACUUCAGCCACAUGUGGUAAACAGCGUGGGCUUGUCACAACCUGUACUUUAUUUUGCCUGUCUCUAGAUGCCUCCACAACAACGUGACACAAACUGAUGGAACAGAGUGAGGCUUCUGAUCCUUAUUUAAUUAAUGAACUUCCGUAACUUCAACCUGAUCCAUGGGCACUGUGUCAGUGUUUGCAAAUAUCUCUGAGCCAGGGAAAUAACUCUAAUUUUUUUGGCUUGCCUCCCGUUUCUCUCAGAAACAGCAAUGACCAAAUGCUGCCUGGGCAGAUGCCAAGUUUCUCUUAGUCUUGGUGAA